This 587-nucleotide ribosomal RNA is filed under the name uncultured bacterium. RNAcentral describes it as "partial 16S ribosomal RNA". It matches the Rfam family "Bacterial small subunit ribosomal RNA", at positions 355 to 1375 of the family's 1533-position model. The record is from RNAcentral.
UGGGGAAUUUUGGACAAUGGGCGAAAGCCUGAUCCAGCAAUGCCGCGUGUGUGAAGAAGGCCUUCGGGUUGUAAAGCACUUUUGUCCGGAAAGAAAUCCUUGGCUCUAAUACAGUCGGGGGAUGACGGUACCGGAAGAAUAAGCACCGGCUAACUACGUGCCAGCAGCCGCGGUAAUACGUAGGGUGCAAGCGUUAAUCGGAAUUACUGGGCGUAAAGCGUGCGCAGGCGGUUUGCUAAGACCGAUGUGAAAUCCCCGGGCUCAACCUGGGAACUGCAUUGGUGACUGGCAGGCUAGAGUAUGGCAGAGGGGGGUAGAAUUCCACGUGUAGCAGUGAAAUGCGUAGAGAUGGUGGAGGAAUACCGAUGGCGAAGGCAGCCCCCUGGGCCAAUACUGACGCUCAUGCACGAAAGCGUGGGGAGCAAACAGGAUUAGAUACCCUGGUAGUCCACGCCCUAAACGAUGUCAACUAGUUGUUGGGGACUUCAUUUCCUUAGUAACGUAGCUAACGCGUGAAGUUGACCGCCUGGGGAGUACGGUCGCAAGAUUAAAACUUAAAUGAAUUGACGGGGUCAUAGCUGUUUCCU